Long non-coding RNA from Triticum dicoccoides, 1430 nucleotides. RefSeq lists it as uncharacterized. The transcript is spliced from 4 exons. The record is from RefSeq and is a predicted model, not a curated record. Lineage: Eukaryota; Viridiplantae; Streptophyta; Magnoliopsida; Poales; Poaceae.
UACAUGUACACAUCCGCCUCCUCGCCUCGACUUGGCCAGGCCGAACCAAAUCCCCCUAGCCGCCGCCGCCGACCUCAACCCGCCCGCGGCCACGGCCGCACCUCUGCCCGCUCGCCUCCAGUACGAUGGCGUCGGAGGCUAGGUCCGGGGGCGCGCGGCGGAUUCCACCUCAGCCGAGGGACGACAACGCGGCGGCCUCCCCGUCAGUCGCCAUCGGCGUUGCCAAAUCGAAGGCGUAGGCACGGGUGGCUGCGUCUCCGCCGUCAGCGAGGUCCUAUGCCAGCCGUGCCGAGGCGGAGAGCACAGCGGCGGCGGUGAGGGAGAAGGAGGUGUGCUGGCGGAGGAGCUGGAGAAGCCGCGGGAGCGGCGGGGCCGGCUGCGGGCCGCGAGGCAGGUCACGGAGAGGGUGCUGGCGGAGGCGGACGAGGCGCCGCGGCGGGAGAUGCGGGAGUGGGAGUCCAGGGCGGACGAGCAGCGCCGGGUCGUGGCAGACCUGAUGCGCCUCAUCGGUAUGCCGGAGCUGAGAUCCCGGGAGAAGAGAAAGAGGAAACAGGGGACCGGGUCCGGUCACAGUGGCUUCAACACUACGAGAGGAAGAAGCUGGAGCAUAUCUCACCGAUAAGGAAUCGCUGGCGACACCGACAAGAGAAAUUAUGGCAGCAGCAAUCGAAAGCAGCAGCUCUUGAUCCCUUUCUUUGCCACAUUGGCCUGGUCCAAACUUUUAGGCUUACAAAUGAAAUCAAAUGGCUUGUUUGGUAUCUGCUUGCGUCCAUACAUGAUAUAUGAUGGUUUUGAAUGUUCAGCAUAGACAACUUAUUUGAAUCGCCGCGUCUAGACAUGAUUUCCUUUUCUGUUGGGAAGAAUUAUUGUGUGUCUGCUCGAUGCAGAACGGCGACGGCGGGAUCCAGCGGGCACGGGAGAAGGAGGGAUCCGGCGCGGCGGCGCGAAGGUGGAGGCGGGCCUCUGUGGCUGGCAGGGAGAGCUCCAAGGUCAUGGCGGGGCUUCGAUUUUUCUGGUAGAAAAGAGAGACAGAGGAGGAUCCAGGGAGGAGGAGAGGUAGGAGAAGAAGGACGGGAAAGAAGGAAGGGUGCAUCACGGGUGCAGCAGUGCGAGGACACUGGUCUUGUGCGUGAGGAGCGCCUCUCCUCGGGAGGGAGCGAGUGAAACUCAAAUCCACUUCAGAGCAAGCAUUUAGGUCCUAAAUGAGAAAGUAAGGAUGUACUUGAGCAGUUGAGAAGACCCAGUUCCAUUAUCUCAGAAGCCAGAAGUUUCACAUCUAAUAUCUUUGAUUCUAAAAUUUGUCUAAGAAAAUGGUCAUUCUGCUAUUAACACCACGAUUAUGUCUCAAUUGUAGAUUCUUAAUUGCUUAAAAUUAUUUUAUAUGUUUGAUUCCUUCGGUUCAUAUUUAUUCAAAAACAAAAUAUUUUCAA